AUGUCAUACGGCACGGCAUCCAUGGUCUUCCUUCCAAGCUCCAACCCGCUGUGGAAGCAGGACCGCGUCAUCAUGGGCGCCCGCUUCUCCUCCACCAAGGGCUUGGACACAAUCCGGCCCAUCUUGGAAUGCCAUGCCGGGCGUCUCACCGAGUACUUGAGGGCAUGCUCUCGCAUUGGCAGGCCGAUCAUAAUCAGGGAGGCCGUGAACCGCACGGUGCUCAAUGUCAUAUCCAACAUCCUCUUCUCUGAGGAUGUGGCGGACUUGAGCGCGCCGGGGGCCCAACCUUUCAGGGGACUCAUAGUGCCGGUACUAGAGGAGUGGUCAAAAUCCAACGUCUCCGACGCCUUCCCAUUCCUCGCACCAAUUGACCACCUCCUCGGCUCGCGUUGCCGCAUCUCCAUACAUCUCGCCAAACUGUUCAACUUCUUUGACCAAGAAAUCGUUCAGCGCCGGUUAGCUAGAACUGGCACUGGCAGUGGCAGUGAGAAGAACAACGACGUGCUGGACGUUCUCCUCGAGCGCCACGCCAAGUCCAAGCUCACUCGGCAAGAAAUCAUCACGUUCCUAACGGAUAUGUUCAUCGCCGCAAGGCCCGCAAGUGACACGAGCACGGUGACAGUGCAGUGGGCUAUGGCGCAGCUACUGCGCCACCCAGACAAGAUGAAGAAGGUGCGUAACGAGCUCGCAGCAUGCCUUGGAGUUACGUCCAGUGACUUUGUCAAGGAGAGCGACCUCGACAACCUUCCCUACCUCCAUGCCGUGGUGAAGGAGACGCUGCGGCUGCACCCAGCGGUACCCUUGAUACCACGGGAGGUAGCUGCCGACGGAGUGUCACUCGGUGGCUUCCCCAUCCCAAUCGGAACGGGUGUCGUUGUCAACUUGUGGGCAAUCGGAAGGGACCCUACCGUAUGGCCUCAACCUAACAAAUUUGUGCCUGAAAGGUUCUUGGCUGGAGGUGCAGGCGAGGCCGUGCACUUUCAGGGCAAGGACGACUAUACUUAUAGGCCAUUCGGCGCCGGCCGGAGGGUGUGCCCUGGAAUGGACUACGCUCUGCGAUCAGUGACUCUGCUGCUAGCCUCGCUUGUCCACAGAACAGAAUGGAGACUACCUGAUGGCAUGGCGCCCGAGGAUAUUGACCUCGAGGACCGCUAUGGCACUGUGCUGAAUCUUGCUACGCCACUCCGUGCCGUGCCAGUGUCCGCCGUGUGA
This 1212-nucleotide ribosomal RNA is filed under the name Triticum aestivum (bread wheat). Its description in RNAcentral is "partial small subunit ribosomal RNA". The record is from RNAcentral. Lineage: Eukaryota; Viridiplantae; Streptophyta; Magnoliopsida; Poales; Poaceae.